This 21-nucleotide microRNA is filed under the name Chrysemys picta bellii (western painted turtle). Its description in RNAcentral is "Cpi-Mir-9589_5p* (star (passenger))". The record is from RNAcentral. RNAcentral also lists the same sequence under 1 other name. Lineage: Eukaryota; Metazoa; Chordata; Testudines; Emydidae.
UGCCCUCAUUUAUACUUGUGU